UACUCCUACGGGAGGCAGCAGUAGGGAAUCUUCCGCAAUGGACGAAAGUCUGACGGAGCAACGCCGCGUGAGUGAUGAAGGUUUUCGGAUCGUAAAGCUCUGUUGUUAGGGAAGAACAAGUGCAAGAGUAACUGCUUGCACCUUGACGGUACCUAACCAGAAAGCCACGGCUAACUACGUGCCAGCAGCCGCGGUAAUACGUAGGUGGCAAGCGUUGUCCGGAAUUAUUGGGCGUAAAGGGCUCGCAGGCGGUUUCUUAAGUCUGAUGUGAAAGCCCCCGGCUCAACCGGGGAGGGUCAUUGGAAACUGGGAAACUUGAGUGCAGAAGAGGAGAGUGGAAUUCCACGUGUAGCGGUGAAAUGCGUAGAGAUGUGGAGGAACACCAGUGGCGAAGGCGACUCUCUGGUCUGUAACUGACGCUGAGAGCGAAAGGCUGAAACCUUAA
This 445-nucleotide ribosomal RNA is filed under the name Bacillus sp. (in: firmicutes). Its description in RNAcentral is "bacterial SSU rRNA". It matches the Rfam family "Bacterial small subunit ribosomal RNA", at positions 334 to 772 of the family's 1533-position model. Lineage: Bacteria; Bacillati; Bacillota; Bacilli; Caryophanales; Bacillaceae. The record is from RNAcentral.